RNAcentral lists this ribosomal RNA (1268 nucleotides) under Eurhopalothrix sp. CSM-2006. RNAcentral describes it as "eukaryotic LSU rRNA". It matches the Rfam family "Eukaryotic large subunit ribosomal RNA", at positions 54 to 944 of the family's 3401-position model. Lineage: Eukaryota; Metazoa; Arthropoda; Insecta; Hymenoptera; Formicidae. The record is from RNAcentral.
AGGAAAAGAAACUAACCAGGAUUUCCCUAGUAGCGGCGAGCGAACAGGAAAGAGCCCAGCACCGAAUCCCGCGGUUCCGCCGCAGGGAGAUGUGGUGUUCGGGAGGACCCGCUUAUCCCGAGGCGUCGCGACGCGUCCAAGUCCAUCUUGAAUGGGGCCACUUACCCGCAGAGGGUGCCAGGCCCGUAGCGACCGCCGCGCGUCUCGGGAGGGUCUCUCCUUAGAGUCGGGUUGCUUGAGAGUGCAGCUCUAAGCGGGUGGUAAACUCCAUCUAAGGCUAAAUACGACCACGAGACCGAUAGCGAACAAGUACCGUGAGGGAAAGUUGAAAAGAACUUUGAAGAGAGAGUUCAAGAGUACGUGAAACCGUUCAGGGGUAAACCUAAGAAACCCAAAAGAUCGAACGGGGAGAUUCAUCGUCAGCGGCGCCGGCUUCGCGUCGGUCGGCGAUGUCCCGCGGGGCCCUCGCGGCUCGCGCGCGGACACGCUGCCGGUGCCUAACGACGUCCGGCGCUCGUCGUCGUGCACUUCUCCCCUAGUAGAACGUCGCGACCCGCUGGGUGUCGGUCUACGGCCCGAGUGCGGCGACUGACGCGCCGCCGGUAAAACGGCGCGCGUCAAACCCUCGGUCGCCCGGCCGGCUGCCCGGCGGUACGCGCAAGGUAUCAGGCCGCAGCCCCCCGCCGGCGCCCGCCGUCCUACGACGGGGGCGCGUCGGCGACGCGGGUGCGUCGAGGCCGUCGCAAGCGCGAGCCACUUGGUACACGGAGGCACAACGGACCUGGCGCCGUCACCGGUCCUGGCCCGCUGUUGGUCGCACGGUUAACCUUCGACAGGCCCGCGAACGUCCCCCGCCGCGGGGGGGGCGACCCCCCCCCGCGCGUCCGGGGACCGAUACCGGUCGGCGACGCUACUGCUUUGGGUACUCUUAGGACCCGUCUUGAAACACGGACCAAGGAGUCUAACAUGUACGCGAGUCAUUGGGACCGAGUGCGAUGCCUAAAGGCGCAAUGAAAGUGAAGGUCGGCCCCGGUUGCCGACCGAGGGAGGAUGGGCCGCGUCGCGGCGCGGCCCCGCACUCCCGGGGCGUCUCGUUCUCAUCGCGAGAAGAGGCGCACCCAGAGCGUACACGUUGGGACCCGAAAGAUGGUGAACUAUGCCUGGUCAGGACGAAGUCAGGGGAAACCCUGAUGGAGGUCCGUAGCGAUUCUGACGUGCAAAUCGAUCGUCGGAACUGGGUAUAGGGGCGAAAGACUAAUCGAACCAUC